CCUACGGGAGGCAGCAGUGAGGAAUAUUGGUCAAUGGGCGCAAGCCUGAACCAGCGAAGUAGCGUGAAGGAUGACUGCCCUAUGAGUUGUAACCUUCUUUUAUAUGGGCAUAAAGUGCGGUAUGUAUACAGAUAUCCCUGUACAUUAUGAAUAAGGCUCGGCUAACUCCGUGCCAGCAGCGGCGGUAAUACGGAGGAUCCGGGCGUUAUCCGGAUUUAUUGGGUGUAAAGGGAGCGUAGGCGGGUUGUUAAGUCAGUUGUGAAAGUUUGCGGCUCAACUGUCAAAUUGCAUUUGAAACUGGCAUCCUUGAGUACAGUAGAGGUAGGCGGAAUUCGUGGUGUAGCGGUGAAAUGCGUAGAUAUCACGAAGAACUCCGAUUGCGAAGGCAGCUUGCUGGACUUUAACUGACGCUGAUGCUCGAAAGUGUGGGUAUCAAACAGGAUUAGAUACCCCUGUAGUC
RNAcentral lists this ribosomal RNA (460 nucleotides) under uncultured bacterium. RNAcentral describes it as "partial 16S ribosomal RNA". It matches the Rfam family "Bacterial small subunit ribosomal RNA", at positions 338 to 795 of the family's 1533-position model. The record is from RNAcentral.